Molecule: transfer RNA, 67 nt
Filed under: Cucujus clavipes (red flat bark beetle)
Lineage: Eukaryota; Metazoa; Arthropoda; Insecta; Coleoptera; Cucujidae
Description: tRNA-Tyr
Source: RNAcentral
GGUAAAAUGGCUGAGAUUUAGGCAAUAAAUUGUAAAUUUAUGAACGAAAAAUUAUUUUCUUUUAUCA